Molecule: ribosomal RNA, 301 nt
Filed under: uncultured bacterium
Lineage: Bacteria
Description: partial 16S ribosomal RNA
Rfam family: Bacterial small subunit ribosomal RNA
Source: RNAcentral
CAGUCGCCACGGGAAUACGGAGGGGGCUAGCGUUGUUCGGAAUUACUGGGCGUAAAGCGCACGUAGGCGGCUUUGUAAGUUAGAGGUGAAAGCCUGGGGCUCAACUCCAGAAUUGCCUUUAAGACUGCAUCGCUUGAACGUCGGAGAGGUGAGUGGAAUUCCGAGUGUAGAGGUGAAAUUCGUAGAUAUUCGGAGGAACACCAGUGGCGAAGGCGGCUCACUGGUCCAUUACUGACGCUGAGGUGCGAAAGCGUGGGGAGCAAACAGGAUUAGAUACCCCUGUAGUCCCUGUCUCUUAUAC